RNAcentral lists this ribosomal RNA (431 nucleotides) under uncultured delta proteobacterium. RNAcentral describes it as "bacterial SSU rRNA". It matches the Rfam family "Bacterial small subunit ribosomal RNA", at positions 355 to 776 of the family's 1533-position model. The record is from RNAcentral. Lineage: Bacteria; Deltaproteobacteria.
UGGGGAAUAUUGCGCAAUGGGCGAAAGCCUGACGCAGCGACGCCGCGUGGGUGAUGAAGGCCUUCGGGUUGUAAAGCCCUGUCAGGGGGAACGAAUGGAGUGGCCAACUAAUAUGUGGCUGCUCUGACGGUACUCCCAAAGGAAGCACCGGCUAACUCUGUGCCAGCAGCCGCGGUAAGACAGAGGGUGCAAGCGUUGUUCGGAAUUACUGGGCGUAAAGGGCGCGUAGGCGGUUGCGUAAGUCGGAUGUGAAAUCCCUCGUUUCAAGCGGGGAACUGCAUUCGAAACUGCGCGACUCGAGUCUCGGAGAGGGAGAUGGAAUUCCCGGUGUAGAGGUGAAAUUCGUAGAGAUCGGGAGGAACACCAGAGGCGAAAGCGGUCUCCUGGACGAUGACUGACGCUGAGGCGCGAAAGCGUGGGGAGCAAACAGG